GAGACUUUAGAGGAGGGCGAGAAAAGGAAAACUAAACUAGGCUGAGAGAUUUCUAAGUCUAUUUAAGCGUGGUUUGAAAAGCUUUUUUACUAGGGAACUUGCCCAACUUUAUGGAGAAGCGAGAGGAAUCAAUUUGCUCUGAAUAACAGCGUGAUUUGAUGGUUUUUAUUUCUAAAAUGUAUGAGGAAACAAACAACUGUGGUUGGACAGUAACAAGAGUUUUCAAUUCUGCAUUUUACCAAGAGAAAUAAAACCUCAAGGAUGAGAACAACCAAACAAAGAACCGGUUUAAAAGGACACGCGCCGCAAAA
RNAcentral lists this unclassified non-coding RNA (311 nucleotides) under Schizosaccharomyces pombe (fission yeast). The record is from RNAcentral. Lineage: Eukaryota; Fungi; Ascomycota; Schizosaccharomycetes; Schizosaccharomycetales; Schizosaccharomycetaceae.